CACUCACCCCGCUCGGGCGCAGGCCGGAAAGGAAGGCGGAAGGGAGCGGGGGAGCAAGGAACCCUUCCGGGUUGCGGUCCACUGCGCCUGCGCAAACGGAAGAGCGGGGUGGCACGGGAUGGGGGGUGCGGCGCGCAUGCGCACUGGCAUUUUAACAGCCGAUGCCGACAGUCAGCCAGGAGUUGAUGGGGUUUUUGAUAGGCUGUUCUGAUUGUACUACCACGUGGUGUAUGCUCCUGCUAAGCUGGCUUGUUUACUUUUUGCUGGGUUAAAGGCUCUCCCUCACGUCUGAGGAACUUACACAAGCAUCUCUGUGUUGGGCUCCGAGUGCUGCCUUCCCACGUGCCAUCCACCUUUAGGGGUCUUUCUUGUAGGUUGGCCCUUGUAUAGCGGCUUGCCUUGAGGAUUAUCCCAUUGAGGUCAGAGAUGAACACGGAGGCCCUGUGAAAUCCCUGGUGCAGAAGUGUGGGAAGGCCAGAAUGAUCUGUGCUCUCUUAAAGGUUAGGCCGAGUCAGGCAGAUGCAGGCUGUCCUGAGGGGCUCUGGUAGCUAUCCCUUCAAACCUGCUGUGGCAGAUGAAGACAUUCCUACACCUAGUUGUCCACCUUGUUCUUUGUUGGAGCUUGCUGCUCCUGCAGCAGAAUUGCAGAGGGAAAGCAGACCUUUGACGCAGUGCUUUUCAUACACAAAAGAAGAACCGAAAGAGUGAAGGCCAAGUACCUCAUGUGUCUGUCAACAGUCUUUUGGAAUUGCCAGCCAGCUUUCCAAGCGACACGCCAAGCUGGAACUCCUCCUCCUGUGCACUCAGUGAUGAUGGA
This is a long non-coding RNA of Gallus gallus (chicken), 817 nucleotides long. RefSeq lists it as uncharacterized. The transcript has 3 exons. The record is from RefSeq and is a predicted model, not a curated record. NCBI's taxonomy places the organism in Eukaryota, Metazoa, Chordata, Aves, Galliformes, Phasianidae.